UGCCCCAGUAACGGCGAGUGAAGCGGCAACAGCUCAAAUUUGAAAUCUGGCUCCGGCCCGAGUUGUAAUUUGUAGAGGAUGCUUUUGGUGAGGUGCCUUCUGAGUUCCCUGGAACGGGACGCCAGAGAGGGUGAGAGCCCCGUAUAGUCGGCCACCGAUCCUCUGUAAAGCUCCUUCGACGAGUCGAGUAGUUUGGGAAUGCUGCUCAAAAUGGGAGGUAUAUCUCUUCUAAAGCUAAAUAUAGGCCAGAGACCGAUAGCGCACAAGUAGAGUGAUCGAAAGAUGAAAAGCACUUUGAAAAGAGGGUUAAAUAGCACGUGAAAUUGUUGAAAGGGAAGCGCUUGUGACCAGACUUGCGCCGGGUUGAUCAUCCAGUGUUCUCACUGGUGCACUCUGCCCGGCUCAGGCCAGCGUCGGUUCUCGCAGGGGGAUAAAAGCUUCGGGAACGUGGCACCUUCGGGUGUGUUAUAGCCCGCUGCUUAAUACCCCUGUGGGGACCGAGGUUCGCGCUCUGCAAGGACGCUGGCAUAAUGGUCAUCAGCGACCCGUCUUGAAACACGGACCAAGGAGUCGAGGUUUUGCGCGAGUGUUUGGGUGUAAAACCCGCACGCGUAAUGAAAGUGAACGUAGGUGAGAGCUUCGGCGCAUCAUCGACCGAUCCUGAUGUAUUCGGAUGGAUUUGAGUAAGAGCGUAUAGCCUCGGACCCGAAAGAUGGUGAACUAUGCCUGAAUAGGGUGAAGCCAGAGGAAACUCUGGUGGAGGCUCGCAGCGGUUCUGACGUGCAAAUCGAUCGUCAAAUUUGGGCAUGGGGGCGAAAGACUAAUCGAACCAUCUAGUAGCUGGUUACCGCCGAAGUUUCCCUCAGGAUAGCAGUGUUGUUCUUCAGUUUUAUGAGGUAAAGCGAAUGAUUAGGGACUCGGGGGCGCUAUAUAGCCUUCAUCCAUUCUCAAACUUUAAAUAUGUAAGAAGCCCUUGUUACUUAAUUGAACGUGGGCAUUCGAAUGUA
RNAcentral lists this ribosomal RNA (1007 nucleotides) under Coniochaeta sp. RNAcentral describes it as "partial large subunit ribosomal RNA". It matches the Rfam family "Eukaryotic large subunit ribosomal RNA", at positions 76 to 1116 of the family's 3401-position model. The record is from RNAcentral. Lineage: Eukaryota; Fungi; Ascomycota; Sordariomycetes; Coniochaetales; Coniochaetaceae.